AGUUUGAUCCUGGCUCAGAUUGAACGCUGGCGUGAUGCUUUGGCUAACAUGCAAGUCGAACGGCAGCACGGACUUCGGUCUGGUGGCGAGUGGCGAACGGGUGAGUAAUGUAUCGGAACGUGCCUAGCGGGGGAUAACUACGCGAAAGCGUGGCUAAUACCGCAUACGCCCUUCGGGGGAAAGCGGGGGACCUUCGGGCCUCGCACUAUUAGAGCGGCCGAUAUCGGAUUAGCUAGUUGGUGGGGUAACGGCUCACUAAGGCGACGAUCCGUAGCUGGUUUGAGAGGACGACCAGCCACACUGGGACUGAGACACGGCCCAGACUCCUACGGAGGCAGCAGUGGGGAAUUUUGGGAUAAUGGGGGAAACCCUGAUCCAGCCAUCCCGCGUGUGCGAUGAAGGCCUUCGGGUUGUAAAGCACUUUUGGCAGGAAAAGAAACGGCACGGGAUAAUACCCGUGCAAUCGACGGUACCUGCAGAAUAAGCACCGGCUAACUACGUGCCAGCAGCCGCGGUAAUACGUAGGGUGCAAGCGUUAAUCGGAAUUACUGGCGUAAAAGCGUGCGCAGGCGGUUCGGAAAGAAAGAUGUGAAAUCCGUGAGCCACCUUUGGAACUGCAUUUUUAACUACCGAGCUAGGGAGUGUGUCAGAGGGAGGUGGAAUUCCGCGUGUAGCAGUGAAAUGCGUAGAUAUGCGGAGGAACACCGAUGGCGAAGGCAGCCUCUGGGAUAACACUGACGCUCAUGCACGAAAGCGUGGGGAGCAAACAGGAUUAGAUACCCCGGUAGUCCACGCCCUAAACGAUGUCAACUAGCUGUUGGGGCCUUCGGGCCUUGGUAGCGCAGCUAACGCGUGAAGUUGACCGCCUGGGGAGUACGGUCGCAAGAUUAAAACUCAAAGGAAUUGACGGGGACCCGCACAAGCGGUGGAUGAUGUGGAUUAAUUCGAUGCAACGCGAAAAACCUUACCUACCCUUGACAUGUCUGGAAUCCCGAAGAGAUUUGGGAGUGCUCGCAAGAGAACCGGAACACAGGUGCUGCAUGGCUGUCGUCAGCUCGUGUCGAGAUGUUGGGUUAAGUCCCGCAACGAGCGCAACCCUUGUCAUUAGUUGCGCGAAAGGGCACUUUAAUGAGAUCAAGCGGUGACAAACGAGGAAGGUGGGAUGGCGUCAAGUCCUCAUGGCCCUUAUGGGUAGGGCUUCACACGCCAUACAAUGGUCGGGACAGAGGGUCGCCAACCCGCGAGGGGGAGCCAAUCCCAGAAACCCGAUCGUAGUCCGGAUCGCAGUCUGCAACUCGACUGCGUGAAGUCGGAAUCGCUAGUAAUCGCGGAUCAGCAUGUCGCGGUGAAUACGUUCCCGGGUCUUGUACACACCGCCUGUCACACCAUGGGAGUGGGUUUUACCAGAAGUAGUUAGCCUAACCGUAAGGAGGGCGAUUACCACGGUAGGAUUCAUGACUGGGGUGAAGUCGUAACAAGGUAGC
RNAcentral lists this ribosomal RNA (1484 nucleotides) under uncultured Bordetella sp. RNAcentral's name for it is "partial 16S-23S ribosomal RNA intergenic spacer". It matches the Rfam family "Bacterial small subunit ribosomal RNA". The record is from RNAcentral. Lineage: Bacteria; Pseudomonadati; Pseudomonadota; Betaproteobacteria; Burkholderiales; Alcaligenaceae.